Molecule: long non-coding RNA, 1011 nt
Organism: Polypterus senegalus (gray bichir)
Lineage: Eukaryota; Metazoa; Chordata; Cladistia; Polypteriformes; Polypteridae
Exons: 4
Source: RefSeq, a predicted model, not a curated record
UUGACAGCCUGGACUGCUCAGGAGCAUUUGAUUUCAGUCAGGAAGACAUGCCAAAAAUUAGAAGAUGGUGGUGUCAUCUCUUACUUCGCAAAGCCAGCAUUAAAGCCAAGACAUCGGUCUUCACUUUCCACACGAGAAGAAGGACAUUCUGUGCCCCACGGGCAGUGCUUCGUAAUUAUCAGUUGAAAAGUUUUCUGACACUAAUUUUAUAUAUUAGAACUUCACAAAAAGACUUUGACCAACUGGUCACACAGCAGGUCUCCGGUGAGGCUGUCAGUAACUUGUGUCUCUCGUCAGCCCUGUGGUGUGUCAGUGCCGUUAUGGGGGCAGAGAAUGGUGGUCUUAAAAAUGAGUGUUUUGUGUGCUUGUGCUCUAACUGAUUUAUUAAAUGGCAAUUAUUUCUGCUUCCAGCAAUUCCAGACAAGAUAGGAAAGAGCAAGGACUUUUCUCCCCCACCCUUCUUUUCCAUUACUAAAGAAUAUGAAAAUGUUGACUGAAUUAUUUAUGCCAGUACAAUCAUAUUCAGCAUAUUUAUGGUUACAUUUAGUUGUUAGCAAAUUGUACCUCACAAAGGCACAGUCCUGUCAGGUAUGUAGUGAAAUGACUCUUAUGGCACAGCCAAUGCCUUAAAGGUGAUGACUUUCUUUUUCCUUUUCAAUAUCAUUCAGAAAUCAACCAGUCUAGAAUGGAGUGAUUGUUUGCUUCAGGUAAACACUUUCCAUUAUGUAUAACUUUUUAGAUGUAGCAUUUCUAUUGUAAUAUGUUUGGGUGAAUGUUUCAGCAGUUUUUAAAGCAUGCUUACUAAACUGGGAACAAUUAAAUUACAUAUUAUUUGAAAUGAUGAUAUUUGAAAUGAUGAAUUUGGCCUUCACAAGUGACAAUGCUGUGUAAUUGGACUCUUUGUCUUUCAGGGACUCACUUCAGUACAAUUCCAGUAGACGUUCAGAUUGAACUGAAAUGGGUCUUACAGCAAUGUAUUAGUAAAUAAAAAUGAAUGCUUUUUUCACUACA